AAGUCGUAACAAGGUUUCCGUAGGUGAACCUGCGGAAGGAUCAUUAACAAAUCUGCUAUAUGGCGAGCCCGAGAGGGAUCGCACAUAUAUAUUUACCCCGAGCUGGUGUUGCACUUUUGUGCAAAGGCCAGCUUUGGUUGGGCAGGCCUACCCUUUACCGGGCAGGACUGUUCCGGACAGUGUUUGGAGGCCGCAAGGUUUUCGGACGCUGGCCACAUUGACGCUUGUAUGUUUGACAGAGUUACAGUUGUAAACUAAAAAGACAACUUUUAACAAUGGAUCUCUUGGCUCUU
RNAcentral lists this unclassified non-coding RNA (293 nucleotides) under fungal sp. RNAcentral's name for it is "partial internal transcribed spacer region". The stretch from base 1 to 46 matches the Rfam family "Eukaryotic small subunit ribosomal RNA", at positions 1786 to 1831 of the family's 1831-position model. Lineage: Eukaryota; Fungi. The record is from RNAcentral. RNAcentral also lists the same sequence under 1 other name.